AGCAGUAGCCACGGUAAUACGUAGGGUGCAAGCGUUAAUCGGAAUUACUGGGCGUAAAGCGUGCGCAGGCGGCUUCUUAAGUCGGAUGUGAAAUCCCUGAGCUUAACUUAGGAAUUGCAUUCGAUACUGGGAAGCUAGAGUAUGGGAGAGGAUGGUAGAAUUCCAGGUGUAGCGGUGAAAUGCGUAGAGAUCUGGAGGAAUACCGAUGGCGAAGGCAGCCAUCUGGCCUAAUACUGACGCUGAGGUACGAAAGCAUGGGGAGCAAACAGGAUUAGAUACCCCCGUAGUCCCUGUCUCUUAUAC
Molecule: ribosomal RNA, 303 nt
Filed under: uncultured bacterium
Lineage: Bacteria
Description: partial 16S ribosomal RNA
Rfam family: Bacterial small subunit ribosomal RNA
Source: RNAcentral